RNAcentral lists this ribosomal RNA (611 nucleotides) under uncultured Stenotrophomonas sp. RNAcentral describes it as "bacterial SSU rRNA". It matches the Rfam family "Bacterial small subunit ribosomal RNA", at positions 355 to 957 of the family's 1533-position model. The record is from RNAcentral. Lineage: Bacteria; Pseudomonadati; Pseudomonadota; Gammaproteobacteria; Lysobacterales; Lysobacteraceae.
UGGGGAAUAUUGGACAAUGGGCGCAAGCCUGAUCCAGCCAUACCGCGUGGGUGAAGAAGGCCUUCGGGUUGUAAAGCCCUUUUGUUGGGAAAGAAAUCCAGCCGGCUAAUACCUGGUUAGGAUGACGGUACCCAAAGAAUAAGCACCGGCUAACUUCGUGCCAGCAGCCGCGGUAAUACGAAGGGUGCAAGCGUUACUCGGAAUUACUGGGCGUAAAGCGUGCGUAGGUGGUUAUUUAAGUCCGUUGUGAAAGCCCUGGGCUCAACCUGGGAACUGCAGUGGAUACUGGAUGACUAGAAUGUGGUAGAGGGUAGCGGAAUUCCUGGUGUAGCAGUGAAAUGCGUAGAGAUCAGGAGGAACAUCCAUGGCGAAGGCAGCUACCUGGACCAACAUUGACACUGAGGCACGAAAGCGUGGGGAGCAAACAGGAUUAGAUACCCUGGUAGUCCACGCCCUAAACGAUGCGAACUGGAUGUUGGGUGCAAUUUGGCACGCAGUAUCGAAGCUAACGCGUUAAGUUCGCCGCCUGGGGAGUACGGUCGCAAGACUGAAACUCAAAGGAAUUGACGGGGGCCCGCACAAGCGGUGGAGUAUGUGGUUUAAUUCGAUGC